GGGUUGUGAGGUUAAGCGACUAAGCGUACAUGGUGGAUGCCCUGGCAGUCAGAGGCGAUGAAGGACGUGCUAAUCUGCGAUAAGCGUCGGUAAGGUGAUAUGAACCGUUAUAACCGGCGAUUUCCGAAUGGGGAAACCCAGUGUGAUUCGUCACACUAUCAUUAACUGAAUCCAUAGGUUAAUGAGGCGAACCGGGGGAACUGAAACAUCUAAGUACCCCGAGGAAAAGAAAUCAACCGAGAUUCCCCCAGUAGCGGCGAGCGAACGGGGAG
RNAcentral lists this ribosomal RNA (272 nucleotides) under Escherichia coli. RNAcentral's name for it is "partial 23S ribosomal RNA". It matches the Rfam family "Bacterial large subunit ribosomal RNA", at positions 1 to 264 of the family's 2925-position model. Lineage: Bacteria; Pseudomonadati; Pseudomonadota; Gammaproteobacteria; Enterobacterales; Enterobacteriaceae. The record is from RNAcentral.